This 506-nucleotide ribosomal RNA is filed under the name uncultured bacterium. Its description in RNAcentral is "bacterial SSU rRNA". It matches the Rfam family "Bacterial small subunit ribosomal RNA", at positions 1 to 507 of the family's 1533-position model. The record is from RNAcentral.
UCGACGAGUUUGAUCAUGGCUCAGAUUGAACGCUGGCGGAAUGCUUUACACAUGCAAGUCGAGCGGCAGCGCGGGGCAACCUGGCGGCGAGCGGCGAACGGGUGAGUAAUGCAUCGGAACGUACCCAGUCGUGGGGGAUAACUGUCCGAAAGGACAGCUAAUACCGCAUACGUCCUGAGGGAGAAAGCGGGGGAUCGCAAGACCUCGCGCGAUUGGAGCGGCCGAUGCCGGAUUAGCUAGUUGGUAGGGUAAAGGCCUACCAAGGCGACGAUCCGUAGCUGGUCUGAGAGGACGACCAGCCACACUGGAACUGAGACACGGUCCAGACUCCUACGGGAGGCAGCAGUGGGGAAUUUUGGACAAUGGGGGCAACCCUGAUCCAGCCAUUCCGCGUGAGUGAAGAAGGCCUUCGGGUUGUAAAGCUCUUUCAGCAGGAACGAAACGGUGGUCCCUAAUACGGACUACUAAUGACGGUACCUGAAGAAGAAGCACCGGCUAACUACGUG